This 371-nucleotide ribosomal RNA is filed under the name Thraustochytriidae sp. Its description in RNAcentral is "Thraustochytriaceae sp. partial small subunit ribosomal RNA". It matches the Rfam family "Eukaryotic small subunit ribosomal RNA", at positions 582 to 975 of the family's 1831-position model. Lineage: Eukaryota; Bigyra; Thraustochytrida; Thraustochytriidae. The record is from RNAcentral.
AUUCCAGCUCCAAUAGCGAAUACUAAUUCUGCUGCAGUUAAAAAGCUCGUAGUUGAACUUCUGGUAGGACAGAUCCGGCCUUUGGAUGAAUGUCCAUUGUAUGCUGUGUGUCUUGUCUGGCCAUCCUUUAUGUCUUUUAGGCGUAAUCUUUCACUGUAAAAAAAUUAGGGUGUUUCAAGCAAAAGUUAUUUGGAAUAUAUUAGUAUGGGAUGAUAAGAUAGGCUCUUGAGUGCUACUUUGUUGGUUUAUACACUUAGAGAAUGAUUAAGAGGGACAGUUGGGGGUAUUUAUAUUGGAUGGUUAGCGGUGAAAUGCAUGGAUCCAUUCAAGAUAAACUAAGGCGAAAGCAUUUACCAAGGAUGUUUUCAUCG